This is a long non-coding RNA of Bradysia coprophila, 163 nucleotides long. NCBI's taxonomy places the organism in Eukaryota, Metazoa, Arthropoda, Insecta, Diptera, Sciaridae. The record is from RefSeq and is a predicted model, not a curated record.
UGUGUGUAUGUGUGAGAAACUUUGCUGUAACUGUUAUGGUCAAUCAAACAGACUUUCAUCCACCUUCAUCAGGAUUUCGAUAAACUAACCAUUUUAGAGCUCAACAUUUUUUUAAACUUUUGCUCCUCUUGUUCUUGUGUCUGCCGUUUUUAUUUGAUGUUUG